RNAcentral lists this unclassified non-coding RNA (347 nucleotides) under soil metagenome. RNAcentral's name for it is "partial contains 5.8S ribosomal RNA, internal transcribed spacer 2, and large subunit ribosomal RNA". The stretch from base 1 to 120 matches the Rfam family "5.8S ribosomal RNA", at positions 35 to 154 of the family's 154-position model. The record is from RNAcentral.
GAUGAAGAACGCAGCGAAAUGCGAAAAGUAAUGUGAAUUGCAGAAUUCAGUGAACCAUCGAAUCUUUGAACGCACAUUGCGCCCGCUGGAACUCCGGCGGGCACGCCUGUCCGAGCGUCAUUUCAACCCUCAGGCCCCCCUUCGCGGGCGGGCCUGGUGUUGGGGCCCGGCCGCUACCCUGCGGCCGUCCCCUAAAUCCAGUGGCGGCCUCGCCGUGAUCCCUUGCGUAGUAAUGCACCUCGCACCGGAGAGCGCCGUGGCCACGCCGUAAAACCCCCAAUUUUCAAUGGUUGACCUCGGAUCAGGUGGGAAUACCCGCUGAACUUAAGCAUAUCAAUAAGCGAGGA